Scophthalmus maximus (turbot) is the source of this 318-nucleotide long non-coding RNA. RefSeq lists it as uncharacterized. The transcript is spliced from 3 exons. NCBI's taxonomy places the organism in Eukaryota, Metazoa, Chordata, Actinopteri, Pleuronectiformes, Scophthalmidae. The record is from RefSeq and is a predicted model, not a curated record.
GUAAACUUCGGUGUGGCUCUUCACCGCUGACAUCAACUCCGGGAGGAGAAGAGGGUGAAAGGUACAGCAAGUUGUACAUGAAGAAGUCCAGGACCUGGAGGUUGUCUGCCACGGACCAGUGCACUGAGACCAGACGAUCCCCGUCAAUAGCUAGAGAAGCAGGUCAGCAGAGGACCAGGACCACUUCCUAAAGAGUCGACGACAGCACAGCCUGACCCGUCAGUUGACAGACCUGCUUUGACACUAGAGCUAGGAAACCCUGUGCAGACAGUUUCUUCAUUGUUGUACAUAUGUGUUUAUGCUAAUAGUAUAAUAUAU